This 283-nucleotide RNase P RNA is filed under the name Klebsiella pneumoniae. RNAcentral's name for it is "partial RNase P RNA component class A". It matches the Rfam family "Bacterial RNase P class A", at positions 78 to 359 of the family's 367-position model. Rfam says of the family: Ribonuclease P (RNase P) is a ubiquitous endoribonuclease, found in archaea, bacteria and eukarya as well as chloroplasts and mitochondria. Its best characterised activity is the generation of mature 5'-ends of tRNAs by cleaving the 5'-leader elements of precursor-tRNAs. The record is from RNAcentral. Lineage: Bacteria; Pseudomonadati; Pseudomonadota; Gammaproteobacteria; Enterobacterales; Enterobacteriaceae.
GUAACGCCUGGGGGGCGCAAGCCUACGACAAGUGCAGCAGAGAGAAGACCGCCGAUGGCCCGCAAGGGAACAGGUAAGGGUGAAAGGGUGCGGUAAGAGCGCACCGGACGACUAGUAAUAGUUCGUAGCAGGGUAAACUCCACCUGAAGCAAGACCAAAUAGGCCUCCACAUUGCGUUGCUCGCGUAAGGAGGCGGGUAGGUUGCUCGAGCCAGUGAGUGAUUGCUGGCCUAGACGAAUGGCUACCGCCGCGCAAGCGGAACAGAACCCGGCUUAUGUGUCGG